Molecule: ribosomal RNA, 263 nt
Filed under: uncultured bacterium
Lineage: Bacteria
Description: partial small subunit ribosomal RNA
Rfam family: Bacterial small subunit ribosomal RNA
Source: RNAcentral
AGAGCGAACGCUGGCGGCGUGCUUAACACAUGCAAGCCGAGUGCGCGCCUGUAGCAAUACAGGUGGCGCACGGCGCACGGGUGCGUAACACGUGGGUAAUCUGCCCUUCGAUGGGGAAUAACCUCGCGAAGGCGAGGCUAAUUCCGCAUAACAUUCCGAUGGUUCCAAUCAAUGGACUCAAAGCCGUAAGGCGUCGGAGGAGGAGCCCGCGCACGAUUAGCUAGUUGGUGAGGUAACGGCUCACCAAGGCUUUGAUCGUUAGC